GUGGAUAUUGCUCAGCACUAGAGCACGUGCCUAGCAUGCACGAGGUCCUGGGUUCAAUCCCCAGUACCUCCA
This 72-nucleotide transfer RNA is filed under the name Camelus bactrianus (Bactrian camel). It matches the Rfam family "tRNA". From Rfam's summary of the family: Transfer RNA (tRNA) molecules are approximately 80 nucleotides in length. Their secondary structure includes four short double-helical elements and three loops (D, anti-codon, and T loops). RNAcentral also lists the same sequence under 1 other name. The record is from Rfam by way of RNAcentral. Lineage: Eukaryota; Metazoa; Chordata; Mammalia; Artiodactyla; Camelidae.